RNAcentral lists this long non-coding RNA (1261 nucleotides) under Macaca mulatta (Rhesus monkey). RNAcentral's name for it is "lncRNA (ENSMMUG00000062278.1)". The record is from RNAcentral. Lineage: Eukaryota; Metazoa; Chordata; Mammalia; Primates; Cercopithecidae.
CCCAGGCUGGAGUGCAAUGGCCGGAUCUCAGCUCACUGCAAGCCCCGCCUCCCGGGUUCACGCCAUUCUCCUGCCUCAGCCUCCGGAGUAGCUGGGACUACAGGCGCCCGCCACCUCGCCCGGCUAAUUUUUUUUGUAUUUUAGUAGAGACGGGGUUUCACCGUGUUAGCCAGGAUGGUCUCGAUCUCCUGAACUCGUGAUCCGCCCGUCUCGGCCUCCCAAAGUGCUGGGAUUACAGGCUUGAGUAAUUUUUUGUAUUUUUAGUAGAGACGGGGUUUCACCGUGUUAGCCAGGAUGGUCUCGAUCUCCUGACCUCUUGAUCCGCCCGCCUCGGCCUCCCAAAGUGCUGGGAUUACAGGCGAGAGCCACCGCCCCCGGCCUCUGCUCAAUAUUUCAAUGCCUUAUUCCUUUUUUAGUCAACUGCAGUCUGACUUCUGCCACCAACAUUCCACAGAAACUGCUCUCCCUAAAUUAUUAAUGAUCUUCUAAUUGCCAAAUGUACUAGGCAAGUGGUUUACAUGUAUCAAUGCAUGUAAUCCUCUACCAUCCUAUUACGUGUAUAUUCUUAUCCUAGUAUUGCCUAGGACAGGAGUCAUCAAACACUGGCUGGUCCACAGACCAACCUUCCUUUUUUUGUAAUACGCAUUUAUUUCUGUACCGUCUAUGGCUUCUUUUAUGUCACAAUGGCAGAGCUGAAUGUUGCAACAGAGACCUUACGGUUUGCACGGCCCAAAAUAUUUACUACCUAGUCCUUUACAGAAAUACUUGUCAGCCCCUGGCCUAGGGAGUUAAGCCUGGCUGGUCUUGUGUGAGAGUAGAAGAAAUGGCGGCUGUGCUUAGGUUGAGGGACUGGAUACAACCACUAAGCACAUACUAGGCAAAUGAUUUCCCAUGCAUUCAGAGUGGCAAAAGAGUGGAGGAAAGCCUAAGACAGACAGCAUUUGGUUAAAUUUGAAAAUCAUAUUUAGAGAGGCCACAGAGAAAUGCAAGCUACAUCACAGUGGGAUAUGUGAGAGGCUGUUACCAGAUGACAGAAAGCAAAAGUUACGUUUCCAUAGGAGAAAGGCUGCAGUGGAAACCUAAAAUGGAACUGAAGCAGAAUCAAGGUGGUAUGAGCUGCCAAAAACAGGACUUUUCUUUAUUGGUAAGAAGUUGAUGAUGGGGAAGGCUAUGUGGUAACAUUUGGAAAAGUGUUCUAGGGAUCAAUAAGGUUGCCCUUCUCACCGAUUCUAGACACUGUAUUUAGGAUUGCAUUUCUUGC